Molecule: ribosomal RNA, 900 nt
Filed under: uncultured archaeon
Lineage: Archaea
Description: bacterial SSU rRNA
Rfam family: Archaeal small subunit ribosomal RNA
Source: RNAcentral
UUCCGGUUGAUCCUGCCGGAGGUCAUUGCUAUCGGAGUCCGAUUUAGCCAUGCUAGUUGCACGAGUUUAGACUCGUAGCGGAAAGCUCAGUAACACGUGGUCAAGCUACCCUGUAGCGACGGAUAACCUCGGGAAACUGAGGCUAAUACGUCAUAACGCUUGACAUCUGGAGACUGAUUCGAGCUGGAAACGCCUUUGGUGCUACAGGAUGCGACUGCGGUCGAUUAGGUAGACGGUGGGGUAACGGCCCACCGUGCCCAUAAUCGGUACGGGUUGUGAGAGCAAGAGCCCGGAGACGGUAUCUGAGACAAGAUACCGGGCCCUACGGGGCGCAGCAGGCGCGAAACCUUUACACUGUACGGAAGUGCGAUAGGGGGACUCCGAGUGUGUGGGCAUAGAGCUCACACUUUUGUAGACCGUAAGGUGGUCUACGAAUAAGGACUGGGCAAGACCGGUGCCAGCCGCCGCGGUAAUACCGGGCAGUCCGAGUGAUGACCGAUUUUAUUGGGCCUAAAGCGUCCGUAGCUGGCCAGGCAAGUCCGUUGGGAAAUCCACCCGCUUAACGGGUGGGCGUCCAGCGGAAACUGCUUGGCUUGGGACCGGAAGAUCCGAGGGGUACGUCCGGGGUAGGAGUGAAAUCCUGUAAUCCUGGACGGACCGCCGAUGGCGAAAGCACCUCGGAAGGACGGAUCCGACAGUGAGGGACGAAAGCUAGGGUCUCGAACCGGAUUAGAUACCCGGGUAGUCCUAGCUGUAAACGAUGUCCGCUAGGUGUGGCACAGGCUACGAGCCUGUGCUGUGCCGUAGGGAAGCCGAAAAGCGGACCGCCUGGGAAGUACGUCUGCAAGGAUGAAACUUAAAGGAAUGGGCGGGGGAGCGCUGCAGCCGGAGAACCUGGGG